RNAcentral lists this ribosomal RNA (504 nucleotides) under uncultured bacterium. RNAcentral's name for it is "bacterial SSU rRNA". It matches the Rfam family "Bacterial small subunit ribosomal RNA", at positions 28 to 536 of the family's 1533-position model. The record is from RNAcentral.
GACGAACGCUGGCGGCGUGCCUAACACAUGCAAGUCGAGCGGGGUUGAAGCGAGGGGUAACUCGAGUUUCUACCUAGCGGCGGACGGGUGAGUAACGCGUGGGCAACCUGCCUCAAGGACUGGGAUAACAGCUCGAAAGGGCUGCUAAUACCGGAUAAGCCUAUGGCCUCGCAUGGGGCCAUGAGCAAAGGGGAAACCCGCCUUGAGAUGGGCCCGCGUCCCAUCAGCUAGUUGGUGAGGUGAAGGCUCACCAAGGCGACGACGGGUAGCCGGCCUGAGAGGGUGACCGGCCACACUGGGACUGAGACACGGCCCAGACCUCCUACGGGGGGCAGCAGUGGGGAAUCUUGCACAAUGGGCGAAAGCCUGAUGCAGCGACGCCGCGUGAGCGAAGAAGGCCUUCGGGUUGUAAGCUCUGUCUGGAGGGACGAAGGAAGUGACGGUACCUCCGGAGGAAGCCACGGCUAACUACGUGCCAGCAGCCGCGGUAAGAGUCACGUCGCG